RNAcentral lists this ribosomal RNA (1485 nucleotides) under uncultured Campylobacterota bacterium. RNAcentral describes it as "uncultured Epsilonproteobacteria bacterium partial 16S ribosomal RNA". It matches the Rfam family "Bacterial small subunit ribosomal RNA". Lineage: Bacteria; Pseudomonadati; Campylobacterota. The record is from RNAcentral.
AGAGUUUGAUCAUGGCUCAGAGUGAACGCUGGCGGCGUGCCUAACACAUGCAAGUCGAACGGACUUUAAGAGCUUGCUCUUAAAGUUAGUGGCGCACGGGUGAGUAACACGUAGCUAAUCUGCCCUAUGCUAAGGGACAACAGUUGGAAACGACUGCUAAUACCUUAUACUCCGGUAUUUCAUAAGAGAUAUCGGGAAAGUUUUUCGGCAUAGGAUGAGGCUGCGGUCUAUCAGCUUGUUGGUGAGGUAACGGCUCACCAAGGCUAUGACGGAUAGCUGGUCUGAGAGGAUGAUCAGCCACACUGGAACUGAGACACGGUCCAGACUCCUACGGGAGGCAGCAGUGGGGAAUUUUACACAAUGGGCGAAAGCCUGAUGUAGCAACGCCGCGUGGAGGAUGACGGAUUUAGGUCUGUAAACUCCUUUUAUAGGGGAAGAAAUUUGACGGUACCCUAUGAAUAAGCACCGGCUAACUCCGUGCCAGCAGCCGCGGUAAUACGGGGGGUGCAAGCGUUACUCGGAAUCACUGGGCGUAAAGGGAGCGUAGGCGUUCCAUUAAGUCUUGAGUGAAAGCCCACAGCCUAACUGUGGAACUGCUUGGGAAACUGAUAGAAUUGAGUAUGGAAGAGGUCAGUGGAAUUUCCGGUGUAGGGGUAAAAUCCGUAGAUAUCGGAAGGAAUACCAGAAGCGAAGGCGACUGACUGGGACAUUACUGACGCUGAGGCUCGAAAGCGUGGGGAGCAAACAGGAUUAGAUACCCUGGUAGUCCACGCCCUAAACGAUGAACACUAGUCGUUACGGAGCUAGUCUCUGUAGUGACGCAGCUAACGCAUUAAGUGUUCCGCCUGGGGAGUACGGUCGCAAGAUUAAAACUCAAAGGAAUAGACGGGGACCCGCACAAGCGGUGGAGCAUGUGGUUUAAUUCGAAGAUACGCGAAGAACCUUACCAAGGCUUGACAUGUAAGGAACCUUGCAGAAAUGUAGGGGUGCUAGCUUGCUAGAACCUUAACACAGGUGCUGCAUGGCCGUCGUCAGCUCGUGUCGUGAGAUGUUGGGUUAAGUCCCGCAACGAGCGCAACCCUUGUCUUCAGUUACCAUCAUUCAGUUGGGGACUCCGGAGAUACUGCCCCGGUCAACGGGGAGGAAGGUGGGGAUGACGUCAAGUCAGCAUGGCCUUUAUAUCUGGGGCUACACACACGCUACAAUGGUCGGUACAAUGGGUCGCUAAGCCGCGAGGUAGAGCCAAUCCCCAAAGCCGGCCUCAGUUCAGAUCACAGGCUGCAACCCGCCUGUGUGAAGUCGGAGUUGCUAGUAAACGCGCGUCAGCUAUAGUGCGUUGAAUACGUUCUCGGGCCUUGUACACACCGCCCGUCACGUCAUGGGAGCUGGUAACACCUGAAGCCGGUAGCCUAACCGAAAGGAGGGCGCUGUCGAGGGUGGUGCUGGUGACUGGGACGAAGUCGUAACAAGGUAGCCAAGGGCGAA